RNAcentral lists this ribosomal RNA (942 nucleotides) under Triticum aestivum (bread wheat). RNAcentral's name for it is "partial small subunit ribosomal RNA". Lineage: Eukaryota; Viridiplantae; Streptophyta; Magnoliopsida; Poales; Poaceae. The record is from RNAcentral.
AUGGAAUUGUUCAAUAUCGCGCUGCUAGCCAGACAAGCAUGGAGGAUAAUGCAGGAACCGGCCACUUUAAGUGCAAGAUUAUUGAAGGCAUCUUAUUUCCCUAACUCAUCUAUUCUUGAGGCCGAGCUGGGUUCUCGUCCAUCUCAAGGAAUAAUCAGAAGGAUCGGUAAUGGCUUAUCUACACGUAUUUGGAAGGACAACUGGAUUCCCAAAGAAACAACUCGAAAACCAAUUGCAUCACUAGUGGCGACACCCCCCAGGAUGGUAUCCGAUCUUUUGUCUCCGGCCACUGCCUCAUGGAAUGAAUCCUUAGUGCGUGCGGUUUUCUUACCCUUCGGUGCUGAAGCGAUCCUAAAGAUUCCAAUGUGCACAUGAAAUACGGAGGACUUUUGGGCUUGGAACCCGGACAGGAGGAGCAGGUUUACAGUCAGUUUGGCAUACAAGCUCCUAGUCUCAACAAAACUUCAAAAAGAAGCUUGGCUAGAAGGACGGGGUGAUUCAUCAUCAAAUGCUAGAGAAGAGGAAGCUUGGGGACGUCUAUGGCAGCUGAAAGUCCCAUCAAAGAUCAGAGUUUUUCUAUGGCGUCUUGCUCGACACUCCAUACCAACUACGGAUGUCCUACAUAGACGGAAUAUGGCAACUCAGAGUGCGUGCCCGCUGUGUGGAUGCCAAGACUCGUGGAGACAUGCUCUAUUGUCAUGCACUAUAUCGAGGUGCAUUUGGGCCUUGUCGGAUGAUAUCCUUGUGUUGCAGAUGACAGGGAACGAGGAACCUAAUGCGAAGAACUGGCUGUUUGAACUUCAUGAGACAUUAGACCACCUGAGCUUCACGAGAAUGGUCGUUACUUUGUGGGCUGUUUGGUACGUGAGGCGAAAGGCAAUUUAUGAAUCUUUGUUCCAAAACCCACACCAAACAGUAUCAUUUGUAGACUCUUAUCUUUAG